GGUUCACUUUUUCCUUUUUUUUUUUAUCGUGAUGUGCGUGUUAUCUCUUGGUUUUUUCAUCGGGAAAAGUAGUGAAUCGGAAUGUUUGAACUUGUUUCUUUGAGACUGUUUCUCGUUUAUAUACGUAACGGGGAUACGAAAAUACGUGGAAUGAAAAUGAAAUUUAGGUUAGGUAUGGGUAUGGUAUAUACUCUCAGUUGAAUUCGUGAAAGGUUAUUUAUUGACGUAAAUCUUUUGAUAUCUUGUUCUCUUUUUGAAAAGUACCAACUUUCAUUUGAAUUUGUUUCUCUAUACACGUAUGUAUUCUCCACGAGAUAAAUUAGAUCAAGAUUAAAGGUUAUAAUCGUAAAAUUGAUAUCAAUGGCGAGGAAAUUGAGUAAGUGUUAAAAAGGUAGUUGUAAUAAUUCGUUAUAUUAAAUAAAUUUUGAUUUUAUCCUGAAUCUUUGGAUAAAUAUAAUAAAUCAAGAUAAUAGCAUCAGAUUAUUGAAUCCAAAAUGCAAUAUUUUUAAAUUGAUUGAACAAUAGAUCUAAUAAUAGUUGAGAAAAAAAUACUUGUACAAUAACCUAAAUGACAUAACCUAAAUCUUUUAUAAAUGACAGAAUAUUACGGGAAAAAAUGUUUCACUCAAACAAAAAUUCUCGAUCAACGAACAGUUAAACAGUCUGUAGAACAAAAAUAUCAUUGCACAACAGAAGAUCGACUACAGUUAACAUGAAAAUAACACGAUUGUUAUUAAUUUAACGUUGGAGAUGUACAACUUCAACAGUACUUGUUAUAUACGAAGGAAAUAAAGAUCAAAGAACCGAUAAAUAAUAAGAAGACACGAAAUUAAAGGAAACGUCAGAACAAUCGAGACUUUUCAUGGUUCAUGGCUCGAUAAAUUAGACGACGCUGUUUUAAAAACACUUGGUAAAUUACGAAUAGACAGUCUUCAGGAUGGGGAAAGAAAUGAUCGAGGAAGAACAAUUCGUUUUAACUACAGCCCUUCGCAAGAAGUGCCUUCAUCACCAAGUAGAUUAACUCGACUCGGCUUCACCGGAAUUUUUCCACGUCACUGUACCGUUGUCUCUUUAGUCAAUUAAAGUAUCCUUUAUCUUAACAUUCUUAAUUAUAUCACCAUCAUCAUUUAACGUGUUAAAAAUACGUUAGAUCAAAAACGAAAUGUAGAUGAUUAAAGUUUAAGUUAAAUCCUAGUUGAAUUCAAGAUUAGAAGUUGCUGUAUAAUUAAUCUUAUGGUAUAAUAUUCUUAAUAUAUCAUAAUGAUCAAUCUCGAUGAUUAGAUUUUAUUAAAAGUACGUUGCAAAGCAAAAUGAAAUAUAGGACUAGAUUAAAUUCAAGAUCAUAGAUUAUAACGUUAACAUUUUUUGAUUCAAUUAUUUUUGUAUCAAAAUUAUAGUAUUCUAUUAUAAUAAAUUCGAAUCUAACGAAUUUUUAACCAAACUAAUUUUAGCUUGACAAACGCAGAGCUUUUAUUCGACUCGUACCGUGUAGAUUUUUAUCUACCUCUUAGAAUUAAAUUUAAGUAGAAGAGUCUUAAAUUUUACUUGGAUCUGAUCCGACAGCCCUCAUACAUCGGUCCAACCGUCGAAAAAAAAUUCUAAAACCCCCCUCCCUCCAUCAGAUAAUACCUCUGGAUCUUUGAAACCACUUAAAAACUCUGUCUAUAUUCAAACAGUAAUCUUGAAGUACAGCAUCUUUAACCUUCCUAACAAGCGUUAAUCCCGAACCCUCCCCCAGAACCCUCGCCGAGUCUCGAGUCCCUUAGACGUCGAGACAGAAGCGGUAAUUGAACGUUAUUAUAUCCCUCGUGCGGCGGCCGUGGUCCAGGCUUCUUCUUGGGUUCCGUAAAACGACUGGAAAAACGCGGGGCCGGGAGAAAAUGAACGCGGUUUGAGGACAUUCCCUCUUGCUUUUGCAUCCCUGGUAAACGGUCUUGGCCUUGUUUCUCUCUCUCUCUCUCUCUCUCUCUCUCUCUCUCUCUCUCUCUCGUGUUCCCUCCCUCCCUCGUGUCUGCUGCGCGAAGGCGGCGCCGCGGACAAAGAUGGAAAAAACGGAGAAGAAACAAAAGCGUAGGGAAAAAAAAAGAAAGGGGGGAGGGGAAGGAGAAGCGUGGGAAGGGUGGUGAAGAAUGGUGGCGAAGAGUGUGUGUUUCGGGGACGAGGAAGGCUCGGGGGGGUGGGUGGCCCUUUAAUAUUUGCUCGCUGCAUCUCGCGAGUACUUUCCGGGGAGAGAGAAGAUCGAUGCGAGUGUGACCUCCUUCUCUCGCGGCCUGUUAAAUUAAAUUAUUAUGAUCGUUAUCGUUAAGCAGCCGAGAGGAGAGAAGAUAUCGCGGCGGUCGGAUCGCGCGUGCCGACACCUGUAAGUGCACACAGGAACGUCGGUGUGGAUCCACGAGAGAAAGAGAGACAGAGAGAGAGAGAGAGAGAGAUAGAGCCGGAGGAACGGACGCGGCAAAUUCUAUACCGCUCGAAAUAAUUAGAGGUUCUCGUGUUACCUUGUUGUGUGCUAAUGGAUCCUCCGCCAGAUGGAGGAUUUUUAGCGUGCAAUUUCCCGCGGAGUUGGCGGAUCGGACGGUUCGGAGGAGAGGGAUAUAUUGUUUUAAUUUUAGUGUUAAACCAUUGUUGCUUAAUUUAUUUUUUUUAUUUGUUGUAAUUUGCAACACGA
This is a long non-coding RNA of Apis laboriosa (Himalayan honeybee), 2665 nucleotides long. RefSeq lists it as uncharacterized. The transcript is spliced from 3 exons. The record is from RefSeq and is a predicted model, not a curated record. Lineage: Eukaryota; Metazoa; Arthropoda; Insecta; Hymenoptera; Apidae.